CCUUACUGUCAGGGUCAUCUCACCGUUUAACUGGUGUCCUUGAACGUGUUGAAGUUUUCGGUUGCAACACAGGUAAUAUACUGCCUGGUCCUUCAACAGCUCCUUGGAUCUGGGUCCCGGGAUGGGAGUUUUCACCAUCGGCGCUGCGGGCUCAUCUUCCACUGGCUGAACAUUCACAGCAGCAGCAGAGGCCUGACAUCGAACUGACUCUGAUAAAACGAUAGACACAGAAUACAGUUUAUACAGUUACCUGUUAAUGAUCAAGUAUUGUUCAUAUUGUUUAUAGAGGUAGAAGUUCAAAUAUUGUUGAACAGAUGAUUUCAAUAUUUUCAAUAUGGCUGCCAUGUCUGCUAAGUUGGAGUCACAUAGUUACAUUUACACUUAAAGGUUUUUUAACUUCUGCUGGAAUCAUAUCCACAAAAACUAAGCUGAACGACUGCUUUGUUGUGGAUAUUUUUAAAAUCUUGCUGUUUUUCAGACUAUUUGUGUUCUGUAGCAUCAGUUUUGGUGCUAACAUCAAAAUAUGUGAACCAUGGUGAUAGGGAAAUGAGCCUGAAUGAUUUCUGGAGCUGACAUCUGACUGGGUUUCACAAACCAUUCUGAACCUGCAUUUUAAACAUGUUAAACUGAUACAACAUUAAGCCAUUAUGUAAAGCUACAGAUAAACUGUACAUCCACCAAUCUGUGGAUUACGAAAGUAGGUUCUCUUGAUUUUAACAUUACAGAAGUUUGUAAAUAAUUGAAAAGUCUAAGUUUAUUUAGAUUUUGACCAGCAAAGUUUCUUGUUUCAGAAAUAAAUAUCUCUGAAAAAUAUUAACAUUUUGUCUUUCUGAUGUACACCUGGAAAUAAUCGAGCUAAACCAUCUGUUAUUCAACCGUCACCAAGUCUGACCACAGGAAUACAAAGAAUUGUUGU
Long non-coding RNA from Haliotis rubra (blacklip abalone), 916 nucleotides. RefSeq lists it as uncharacterized. The transcript has 2 exons. The record is from RefSeq and is a predicted model, not a curated record. NCBI's taxonomy places the organism in Eukaryota, Metazoa, Mollusca, Gastropoda, Lepetellida, Haliotidae.